CGGCUCGUAAAACUCUGUUGUUGRAGAAGAACGUGCGUGAGAGUAACUGUUSACGCAGUGACGGUAUYCAACCAGAAAGUCACGGCUAACUACGUGCCAGCAGCCGCGGUAAUACGUAGGUGGCAAGCGUUAUCCGGAUUUAUUGGGCGUAAAGCGAGCGCAGGCGGUUACUUAAGUCUGAUGUGAAAGCCUUCGGCUUAACCGAAGAAGUGCAUCGGAAACUGGGCGACUUGAGUGCAGAAGAGGACAGUGGAACUCCAU
This 261-nucleotide ribosomal RNA is filed under the name uncultured Lactobacillus sp. Its description in RNAcentral is "partial 16S ribosomal RNA". It matches the Rfam family "Bacterial small subunit ribosomal RNA", at positions 419 to 672 of the family's 1533-position model. Lineage: Bacteria; Bacillati; Bacillota; Bacilli; Lactobacillales; Lactobacillaceae. The record is from RNAcentral.